UCCGGUGAUGAAUCCUCUGAAGACUCUCAGC
Molecule: non-coding RNA, 31 nt
Filed under: Rattus norvegicus (Norway rat)
Lineage: Eukaryota; Metazoa; Chordata; Mammalia; Rodentia; Muridae
Source: RNAcentral